CCCCUUGCGAAACUACCGGAAAGGAUAUAUUGCAUCCAUCGGUGUUGAUAUAUUUUCUAGCAUAUUUUCUUGUUUUCAGCCAACAUACACACCCCCGUUAAAUCAAAUAGAUCACUGUAGAUGGCUGCCACAAGCAUAUUACAAGAACUGUGAAUUGGAAGCUGUUAGCUACCUGUGGCACGAAGUCAUGCAAGGGUACAUGUAGUCUUUGUGUGCACAUUGACUUCAUGUUUUACUAAUUUGACUGGCUCCUAUUGCACUCCGGCUGAAUAGCAAUAACACACAGGCCACUUUACGUUCGAACUACUCGAAAGUCUGUGAAAGCUGAAGGUACAUUCAUAAAAGUUCAUAAGUCCAUGGCAUUAGUGAAAAAAAUCUAAACCUUUUCUGGUACAGCCGUGCAUUGUCAGAAGUGUCUCAAUGCAUUGCAGUGAUUGAACAGGCACAUAUUGGCUGUACCACUUGGAUUUCAGCUUGCAUGCGUUGGCUGGACAAAAAAUUCUACCAUAUUUUACCUCCAAACUUUUGCUCACAAGUGGAAAGCGCUGUUUCUGUUGUAAAUAGAUGUGGCUUGCACACAAGGUAUGUGCAUGCUAAGUGUCUUGGUAAAGAAAAGUAAAGGUAUGCUGCAUGAACAGAAGGUGCUGCAGCCACAUAACCUGACCUUUGUUCUUCAUUAUGCUCACAGAUUCAAGGGAUGGAACUAAGUGCGUGUCUUUUAAAUGCUUGAUUUCAGCCAGUUAAAUUUGGCAACACGGGGAUUCAAACCACUGGUGUCAAUCUGCUGUUGGGCUGGACUCUCAAUUUACUUUCCAGAGUUCCUUGGAAAAUCCUCCCAUGCACCUGCCAUGUACAUUGCCCCUCCUCCUCGAUGUGGCGUGCAAGAUGGCAGCAGCUGUGGAAACAGCUGAAGAGGCGAAGAAAGGUCCACUUUAUAAUAGGUUGUAUGUAAAUAAAACUGAUCGAACUCAA
RNAcentral lists this long non-coding RNA (972 nucleotides) under Dermacentor andersoni. RNAcentral describes it as "uncharacterized LOC126535695". Lineage: Eukaryota; Metazoa; Arthropoda; Arachnida; Ixodida; Ixodidae. The record is from RNAcentral.